UUGAACGCUGGCGGCAGGCCUCACACAUGCAAGUCUAGCGGAUGAAGGGAGCUUGCUCCUGGAUUCAGCGGCGGACGGGUGAGUAAUGCCUAGGAAUCUGCCUGGUAGUGGGGGAUAACGUCCGGAAACGGGCGCUAAUACCGCAUACGUCCUGAGGGAGAAAGUGGGGGAUCUUCGGACCUCACGCUAUCAGAUGAGCCUAGGUCGGAUUAGCUAGUUGGGGGGGUAAAGGCCUACCAAGGCGACGAUCCGUAACUGGUCUGAGAGGAUGAUCAGUCACACUGGAACUGAGACACGGUCCAGACUCCUACGGGAGGCAGCAGUGGGGAAUAUUGGACAAUGGGCGAAAGCCUGAUCCAGCCAUGCCGCGUGUGUGAAGAAGGUCUUCGGAUUGUAAAGCACUUUAAGUUGGGAGGAAGGGCAGUAAGUUAAUACCUUGCUGUUUUGACGUUACCAACAGAAUAAGCACCGGCUAACUUCGUG
RNAcentral lists this ribosomal RNA (483 nucleotides) under uncultured bacterium. Its description in RNAcentral is "partial 16S ribosomal RNA". It matches the Rfam family "Bacterial small subunit ribosomal RNA", at positions 30 to 507 of the family's 1533-position model. The record is from RNAcentral.